CAGCCGCCGCGGUAAUACCAGCACCUCAAGUGGUCAGGAGGAUUAUUGGGCCUAAAGCAUCCGUAGCCUGCUCUGUAAGUUUCCGGUUAAAUCCAUUAGCUCAACUGAUGGGCCGCCGGAAAAACUGCAUAGCUAGGGAGUGGGAGAGGUAGACGGUACUCGGUAGGAAGGGGUAAAAUCCUUUGAUCUAUUGAUGACCACCUGUGGCGAAGGCGGUCUACCAGAACACGUUCGACGGUGAGGGAUGAAAGCUGGGGGAGCAAACCGGAUUAGAUACCCGGGUAGUCCCAGCUGUAAACGAUGCAGACUCGGUGAUGCCCUGGCUUGUGGCCAGUGCAGUGCCGCAGGGAAGCCGUUAAGUUUGCCCCCUGGGAAGUACGUACGCAAGUAUGAAACUUAAAGGAAUUGGCGGGGGAGCACCACAAGGGGUGAAGCCUGCGGUUCAAUUGGAGUCAACGCCAGAAAUCUUACCCGAAGAGACAGCAGAAUGAAGGUCAAGCUGGAGACCUUACCAGACAAGCUGAGAAGUGGUGCAUGGCCGUCGCCAGCUCGUGCCGUGAGAUGUCCUGUUAAGUCAGGUAACGAGCGAGAUCCCUGCCUCUAGUUGCCACCAUUACUCUCAGGAGUAGUGGGGCGAAUUAGCGGGACCGCCACAGUUAAUGUGGAGGAAGGAAGGGGCCACGGCAGGUCAGUAUGCCCUGAAACUUUGGGGCCACACGCGGGCUGCAAUGAUAGUGACAGUGAGUUCCUAAACCGAAAGGUGGAGGCAAUCUUCAAACGCUAUCACAGUUAUGAUUGAGGGCUGCAACUCGCCCUCAUGAAUAUGGAAUCCCUAGUAACUGCGUGUCAUUACCGCGCGGUGAAUACGUCCCUGCUCCUUGCACACACCGCCCGU
This 895-nucleotide ribosomal RNA is filed under the name uncultured archaeon. RNAcentral describes it as "bacterial SSU rRNA". It matches the Rfam family "Archaeal small subunit ribosomal RNA", at positions 459 to 1353 of the family's 1478-position model. The record is from RNAcentral.